Molecule: ribosomal RNA, 250 nt
Filed under: uncultured bacterium
Lineage: Bacteria
Description: partial 16S ribosomal RNA
Rfam family: Bacterial small subunit ribosomal RNA
Source: RNAcentral
UACGGGGGGUGCAAGCGUUGUCCGGAUUUAUUGGGCGUAAAGGGCUCGUAGGCGGGAUGGUAAGUCUGGCGUGAAAUUUCCCGGCUCAACCGGGACACUGCGCUGGAAACUGCCGUUCUUGAGUCACGGAGAGGAAGUUGGAAUUCCUGGUGUAGCGGUGGAAUGCGUAGAUAUCAGGAAGAACACCGAUAGCGAAGGCAAACUUCUGGCCGUCGACUGACGCUGAGGAGCGACAGCGUGGGGAGCAAAC